AUUGAACGCUGGCGGCAUGCUUUACACGUGCAAGUCGAACGGCAGCGCGGGCUUCGGCCUGGCGGCGAGUGACGAACGGGUGAGUAAUGCAUCGGAACGUGCCCAGUAGUUGGGGAUAGCCCGGCGAAAGCCGGAUUAAUACCGCAUACGACCUGAGGGUGAAAGCGGGGGACCGAAAGGCCUCGCGCUAUUGGAGCGGCCGAUGUCGGAUUAGCUAGUUGGUGGGGUAAAGGCUUACCAAGGCGACGAUCCGUAGCUGGUCUGAGAGGACGACCAGCCACACUGGGACUGAGGCACGGCCCAGACUCCUACGGGAGGCAGCAGUGGGGAAUUUUGGACAAUGGGGGCAACCCUGAUCCAGCCAUGCCGCGUGCGGGAAGAAGGCCUUCGGGUUGUAAAACGCUUUUGUUCGGGAAGAAAUCCUCUGGGCUAAUACCCCGGGGGGAUGACGGUACCGGAAGAAUAAGCACCGGCUAACUACGUG
Molecule: ribosomal RNA, 484 nt
Filed under: uncultured bacterium
Lineage: Bacteria
Description: partial 16S ribosomal RNA
Rfam family: Bacterial small subunit ribosomal RNA
Source: RNAcentral